Molecule: long non-coding RNA, 3548 nt
Filed under: Sus scrofa (pig)
Lineage: Eukaryota; Metazoa; Chordata; Mammalia; Artiodactyla; Suidae
Description: lncRNA (ENSSSCG00045038793.1)
Source: RNAcentral
AUUCAUAAAGCCCAAGUCUGGGAAAUACAGAGUCGAUAAAUUUUAACAUCCCAGGCUUUUACUUUCAAGGCUGUAGGACACAGUAUACAUUCAUUAUCUAGGCGAUCUGGCUUCUGGGCAUCCUGGCCCUACCUGACCCCACAGAGCCUCUCUUACUUACUCAGGUGGCUCCUUGUCUGCACAAGAUAGGAAAUCAAAAGAUUUCUUGAAUUAAUUUAUUCAAUUUAUUUUUUAUGGCCACACCCCUGGCAUACAGAAGUUCCUGGGCCAGGGGUUGAAUCUGAGCCACAGCUGUGAACACACUGAGCUGGGCUGGAGAUGGGACCUGUGCUCCCCAGCAACCUGAGCGGCUUCAGUGGCAUCCUUAACCCACUAGGCCAAGGUGGGAAUUUCAGAAAGGUGUUUUGAAGAAGUGUUCAUUGUAAGCAGCUCUUAGGACCAUCAAAUCCUAAACAGUUCUCAUUUAUCCCAAAACAGGAAUUAAAUAUUGUGUUUUUAUAAUUGCUAAUUUCAGUGGUAAACUGAUACAGUGACUGACACAAAGGAACCAACUUCUGCUGUUACUCCCAAUUACCUGGUAAGUGACACAGACACGAUGUUGCACCAAAGACACCAGACACCAAACACCAAACACCAAACAGGACUUACUCUACAAAGCACUUCAUUUAGAUGAAGUUCAAGCACAGGCAAAACCUAUCUAUCUACAACCACAGAAAUUAGAAUAAUGACUACCUCUUAGGGAUGGAUAUCGACUGUCAAAAGAAGGAAUUCUUCUGAAGCACUGAGAAUGAUCUAUUAUCAAUAUUUCAUAUCUUGACCUAGCUUGUGGUUACAAUUGAGUAUAUAUGUAAAAAUUCAUACAAAUAUAUGGAUAUAUGUAAAUAUGUAUGUAAGGAUUCGUACAUGUUAAUAUAUGUCAUAUCUCAAUAAAAAUGAAAAAAAAGAUUAGCUUUCAAAAUAUUUACAAAUUUUGAAUUUGUAGAGCUCAACUAAGUAAAAUACUUCAAUAUUCUCUCACUAAGGAGCAAUAUUCCGGAACUUUGUGGCAUCACACUCUUGUCUUCUUGCCAGGUAUCAAACCCUUCCUUACCUAUUUACAAUGUAGUAGUUUGACUUGAAAGAAUGCUCAUUGAUAGAGUUCCCGUCGUGGCUCAGUGGUUAAUGAAUUCGACAAGGAACCAUGAGGUUGCCAGGUUCGAUCCCUGGCCUUGCUCAUGGGUUAAGGAUCCGGCGUUGCCGUGAGCUGUGGUGUAGGUUGCAGACGCGGCUCGGAUCCCGCGUUGCUGUGGCUCUGGCGUAGGCUGGUGGCUACAGCUCCAAUUGGACCCCUAGCCUGGGAACCUCCAUAUGCCACGGGAGCGGCCCAAGAAAUAGCAACAACAACAACAAAAAGACAAAAGACAAAAAAAAAAAAAAAAAAAAAAAAAAAUGAAAUGAAGGUAAGUAAAAAUUGAAUCUUCUUUUAUGAUAUUUCUACCUCAAUUCCUUAAACUGACUGUGCUUGCUUCUCUUGCUUGAAUCAAAGAACUCUACUUUCCCACUUAUUAAACACCAGUCUCAAAAAAAUACUGUGCUUAGUUUGAGAUUUCUUUUUGUUUUUAACCACAUAAAGGAAAAUUAAAAGGGUUUCUUGACCAUAAAAUGGAAAAUAUUUCACAUUCAGUACGACAUAUUAAAAAAAAUAAUGAGUAGUAUUAAUGAUUAAAUGUUCAAAUGACAUUUAAUGAAAGUUAGAAAGUUGAAAAUGACCAAGGAAGAGCCCAAAGCAGAAAUAAGAGAACGAAAUAAAAAAGAAGUAUGUUUUCUGAGGGGUAGGAGGAAUGAUAAGAUAAUCUUCCAAAUGAUAUUGAGAAACAAUGUAUAGCCAAACACCCGAAGGAAUGUAAGUUAUUAAAGGGAGAGAUCAGGUUUUUCCUCUAGGUAUUCCUAUGCUGUUUUUGAUACCAAAUUAGAUUACCAAUUUAAGUUUCAAAAUCAGAUGUAAAUGGGCCUCUGGCUGGACGUAAACCUAUUUCGAUGAAUGCUGAAUAAGCAUAUUUUGGCUAUUGCAGUCCAAAACAAAUACAUGUUCAGAAUACAUAAAAAGCAACACACAAAUGAUGUCAACAUUUUGCACUGCAAAGAAUCUUCUCUAUAGUCUUUUAUGUGUAAGCCUCCAAUAAUGUGCAUUGAUAAUUAUAAAAUUUAAUUGAUAACGAUAAGAAAACCUGCAACUAAAAUAUCACUGUAAAUCUAGAUUGAAAAUCACAGCAGCAGUCGUGAUGGGUUUAGAUUUAUUUGAAAAUAUAGCUUUAGUCCCAUAUUAGUUCUACAGCAGAAGCAAGCCUGCUUUUGACUCAAGAAUCACUGAAAGGGUUAACUUGCAAUCACAUGGACCCUGUUACUGGCAUAAGAAAAAAAAAAUAGAAAAACAGAAAAAUUGGAGCAGGGAAGGAAAGAAGAAGAUAGAAGGAAGUCCACUGUGGAGAGGGGUGCAGUUCCUCUAACGACUGCUCUAUAUAUAGCCAUGACCCAAGUUUCUAUCUUACCCUGGGUCAAAAGAAGAAAGUCAAAGCUGUAAUGAUACGGAAGUCAACUGAAACAUCUUGACCUGGUCAGUGAUGAUCACUAGCACUAAACUGAAAUAUUAAAAAAGCAACCCUAAUGAGCAAGAUUGGAAGAAAUAUUUCUACCCAGAUUCUGAAGCUGCAUAGUAUAUUAGAAAGACGUCCAAUCACAGAUUUAAAGAAUGUAAAUCUGACAAUUCAGCAUCUUCUUAACUGCAUCUUGAAUUCAUCUUCUGAUUAAGCAUCUCCAGGAAGGAUACUGACUUCCAAGGAAAACUUUCCUAUUUGGGGAUUGCCUUAUUCAUCAGAAAAUUCUCAUUAUGUAGAGUCAACAUUGCUGCUGAAAUGUUGAAAUUGACAUGUGGGCUGGAACCUUGAGGGGCUCUCUAUUUCACUCAGUAAUAUACAAUUGCCAGUUAGCUGCAAUUAGUGUUUGGCCACACAUCACACAACAUGGUUUGAAAAUACCAAAGUAGAAGAAGAGCUUAGGAAACAAUUUUAUAAUCUCUAAAAGUUACGUUGUUUGAAAAUUAAACGCAUUUAACAUUUAUAAGUUCUAAAGGAGAGACUCAAACGUGGGGUUGGAAAUCUCACUAUACCACCGCUCAAGGGUUUCACGGGCCUUCACAGGUCAGACAGUCUGAAAAGAGCAAUAUUUUUCAUAAUUCUGAGGACAGGGAAAAAACCCAUUGUGUUUCAUAAAGAUGCAACAGGGCAGCCACAUUUCCUCCCAUGCAUGAAUAAUGUAUGAUCUACAAUGUUAUUUGCUAGACUGUCUAAUCACCAGCAUCUUUCAAAAUGUCUAUAUAAGCUUUAGCUCAUUAAGAACAAACAUGUUAUCUGUACAAAAAUAUCACAUACCUGUGAACACUCAGAAUAAAAUUCUGCUGGAUGCCAAUGCGCAUAUCAAACUGACAUGGGUAAGCUAACUUCUGUCCAUUUCUCAAAGAUACAAAUAUUGGGAAAAGAAAUACAGAAGAAUUUAAUUUCAGUUUGUGAAAU